UCCUGUUUGUGGAAAUCGUUAUCCUCCAGAUGACUUGGUCUUGCAUGCCAGUACAUGUGGUGAUCGUGAAGUGGAUGACCUGCAUCACACAGCACAUGAAUUCAGAGACACACUUCUCAAUUUUGCUGCUGAGAUGAACACUGACAUCCCAGCCAACAAUAAGGAAGUAGAACAGUGGAAAAAGGCCAGUGAUCCCCAAGAUGCUGCAGUUUUGUUUAAGAGGCAUCUCUUAAAGGAAAAGGAGGAGAACCCCACAAUCACAGCUAUCAUUGACAUUCGACAAGAUCAAACAUCCCAGAGCCGAGAGAUCAUUGCUUUCUACAAAAGACCACAGAUUGAUUGGGCAGGACCUUUUCGUUGUUCUUUACAAGGUGACACAGCUGUUGGCACUGGGGUCCAGAGACAUUUUUUCAGCAUGGCAAUGCUAAAGUUGCAACAUGGCUU
Long non-coding RNA from Pelmatolapia mariae (spotted tilapia), 444 nucleotides. RefSeq lists it as uncharacterized. The record is from RefSeq and is a predicted model, not a curated record. The transcript is spliced from 4 exons. NCBI's taxonomy places the organism in Eukaryota, Metazoa, Chordata, Actinopteri, Cichliformes, Cichlidae.